UACGGAGGGGGCUAGCGUUGUUCGGAAUUACUGGGCGUAAAGCGCACGUAGGCGGCUUUGUAAGUUAGAGGUCAAAGCCCGGAGCUCAACUUCGGAAUUGCCUAUAAGACUGCAUCGCUUGAAUCAUGGAGAGGUCAGUGGAAUUCCGAGUGUAGAGGUGAAAUUCGUAGAUAUUCGGAAGAACACCAGUGGCGAAGGCGACUGACUGGACAUGUAUUGACGCUGAGGUGCGAAAGCGUGGGGAGCAAACAGG
Molecule: ribosomal RNA, 253 nt
Filed under: uncultured bacterium
Lineage: Bacteria
Description: partial 16S ribosomal RNA
Rfam family: Bacterial small subunit ribosomal RNA
Source: RNAcentral